Tympanuchus pallidicinctus (lesser prairie-chicken) is the source of this 770-nucleotide long non-coding RNA. RefSeq lists it as uncharacterized. The record is from RefSeq and is a predicted model, not a curated record. The transcript has 4 exons. Lineage: Eukaryota; Metazoa; Chordata; Aves; Galliformes; Phasianidae.
UCCUGCUUAUAACAGCAGAGAUGAGAAAAUGCAAUCAUUAGGAAAGAAUAAACCUGACCAGCAGGUGGAUCAUGUUUUUCUCUUCUAGAAUAUUUCCAUUGCUACUAAUGUUAAGCAAUAAAGAGACAUUGAUGGCCAUGGAAGAGACUAUAUUAUAAGAAAAAUGCAGGAUUAAAGAAUGUAAAGGGCUAUUUGUACUAAACAGAUUAAGCUGCUAGUAAACAUGUCCCCUUUAAAUUAAGUGGUGGUGAAGACAAAGGAAGUGCUUUGUUGUUGUCAGCUGGAUUUGUCUUAAGUCAAAUGGGCAAACAACUUAAACAUCAGUCCUCUUUAAAAUCCCUAAUGGCUGUGCAGAUUACAUCUGAAAAGCUUUACAGAACUUUGUUUUCAACCUGCAUUAGCAUACAAAUAUUAAACAAGAAUUUCACUUCUCUCCAGUCUUGUCACUUGUGAUGAAUACAUCCUUGCUUGGAACAGUAAAACAAACAGAAGUUGUGUUUUUCUGACCUGGCACUAAUAAAAUGUGUGGGUGCAGCAUGCAUUUCAGAAUCACAGACUGCUGCCAUCAGCCAUCACCAUGAUGCCCACUCACACAACCCACUGAAAUAUGUCCCUCAGUGCCACAGGUAGAGGAUACCAAGAGCCCACAUAGCCUUGUAUCAGUGUGGAAUGAAUUCAAGAUAAUGCACUGUGAGUUCACCUUCCAUCCUACUGUCUACAGUAGGAAUUCAUAUGGUUUGGUUUCUGUCAGGAAGAGAUCCUGGAUGAAC